Molecule: long non-coding RNA, 1995 nt
Filed under: Lupinus angustifolius (narrow-leaved blue lupine)
Lineage: Eukaryota; Viridiplantae; Streptophyta; Magnoliopsida; Fabales; Fabaceae
Description: long non-coding RNA (LANG_LNC000930)
Source: RNAcentral
GCCAGAGAGGGAGAGAGAGAACGUGAGAGAGGGAGAGAGAAAGCGAGACAUACAGUAAGAGUGGUAUGAAAUUGAACAUGAAUAUGCGAGAGUGCGAGAAAGAGAGAACGUGAGAGAGAGAGAGAAAGCGACACAGAAAGAGAUUUAUAUGAGGAAUCACAGGAAGUUGAGAUCAUAUUCCUUUGCACUCGCAAGAGAGGUAUGAAAUUGAACAUGAAUAAAAGAGAAUGAUGCAUACUGUUUAGUGUUGGAUAUGCAUGCGAGAGAGGGUGAGUGACAGAAUCAAUUUCCAAUCUUCUUCAUAAAUUACUAUAACUCAUGAUAAUGUGAGUUUGUUGAAUUUCAGCUCAUAAUAUGCGAUUUUCUUCAACUUCAACUCAUUAUAAUGUGAUUUUCUUGAACUUCAACCGAUAAUUAUGUGAUUUUCUUGAACUUCAACUCAUAAAUGUGAUUUUCUUGAACUUCAGCGGAUAGUUAUGUGAUUUUCUUGUACUUCAGCUCAUAGUGUUGCGAUUUUCUUGAACUUCAGCUGAUAAUGAUGUGGUUUUCUUGAACUUAAGCUGAUAAUGAUGUGAUUUUGUACGCAUGAAAUUGAGUCAUACUGUUUCGUGUCGGAUAUGCAUGCGAGAGAGGGUGAGAGAAUCAAUUUCCAACCCCUUCUAUCUCUCUUUUCUAUCUCAAUUUCCAAUCUUAUUCAUGAAUUACUACUUAUCUCAAUUUCCAAUCUUCAUGAAUUACUACACUUAUUGAGCCAACUUCUUAGUAUCUCAGUGAUGUGAUUUUCUUGAAUUUCACCUCAUAAUAUUGCCAUUUUCUUGAACUUCAACUCAUAAUAAUGUGAUUUUCUUGAACUUCAACUCCUAAUUAUGUGAUUUUCUUGAACUUCAGCGGAUAAUGAUGUCAUUUUCUUGAACUUCAGCUGAUAAUGAUGUGGUUUUCUUGAAUCUGAACUGAUAGUCAUGUGAUUUUCUUGAACUUAAGCUAUGUUAUUUUCAUGAACCUCAACUGAUAAUGAUGUGUGUUUCUUGAACUUCAGCGGAUAAUGAUGUCAUUUAUUUAUGACUUUCUUGAACUCCUAAAUGAUAUUGUAACAUGAAUUCUUUAUUCACAAUGGAUAGAUGGUUGGAUCGAAAUUAUAUACUUGUAGUAUGAAUUCUUUAUUCAUAAUUUGUAAAUGGAUGAUAUGCUUUUAUGAUCUCUCAUUCAAAUGCAUUUGAUCUUGAUGAAUCUGAAUUUUAGUGGCUGUUUUGGAUUGUGAGGAUGAGGUAUUGCAUGCAAGAUGAAUGAUUGUGAGGAUGAAUCUUGAUGCUAUGUUUGACCCUAGUUGCUUAUAAUUUUGAAUUCAGAUGGACCCUAAUUUUAAAAAUUACCCGAAAUGCAAUUACAAUUUAAAUCCUCAAUUCAUAGUGUUAAAUCCUUAACAUCUGAGGUUUGUGUGAUAACAUCUUUAGUGCCUGAGCCCGUGCAAGGAUCCACUGAAACAUUAAUUAGCGUUGACUCUGAAUCAAUGGCUAUGAACAACCUUUGUCCUUACUGUUCAGGUCUGCUUUUUUUUCAGUUUGACAAGUGUCAUUUGGUCAUUUUAAUUGUGUUUCAAAUUAUGCAGGCUUAUGUUGAUUUGUUUGCACUUGCAAGAGAGAUAUGAAAUUGAACAUGAAUAAAUGAGAAUGAUGCAUACUGUUUUGGAUAUGCAUGCCACACUCAAACUCCUCAAUCAGGGACUCCACAACCUGUCAUGGCAAUUUCCAACCCUUUCUAUCUCAAUUUCCAAUCUUCUUCAUAAAUUACUAUUACUCGUGAUAAUGUGAUUUUGUUGAAUUUCAGCUCAUAUCCUCCCCUCUUACAAUGGAAUCAUAUAGAGAUGGUAUUUUUUCAAAAGAAUUCUCCUUAACGGUUUUUGUAUCUUCUCUAAUGUUAAUUUUUUCAAUUCAUUGUCAGCAGUCAUAUAUGUCCCAAGCUAUGACUCAGUGAGCUGCAAGUUCAGUUCAAAAUGAG